RNAcentral lists this ribosomal RNA (305 nucleotides) under uncultured bacterium. Its description in RNAcentral is "bacterial SSU rRNA". It matches the Rfam family "Bacterial small subunit ribosomal RNA", at positions 337 to 635 of the family's 1533-position model. The record is from RNAcentral.
UCCUACGGGGGGCAGCAGUAGGGAAUUUUCGUCAAUGGGCGCAAGCCUGAACGAGCAAUGCCGCGUGAACGAGGAAGGUCUUCGGAUCGUAAAGUUCUGUUGAAGGGGAAAAAGAGCGGAGAGAGGAAAUGCUUUCUGAUUGAUAUUACCCUUCGAGGAAGUCACGGCCAACUACGUGCCAGCAGCCGCGGGAAUACGUAGGUGGCGAGCGUUAUCCGGAAUGAUUGGGCGGAAAGGGUGCGUAGGCGGCCUGCUAAGUCUGGAGUGAAAGGUACCGGCUCAACGGGGACAGGCUCUGGAAACUG